RNAcentral lists this ribosomal RNA (229 nucleotides) under uncultured bacterium. RNAcentral describes it as "partial 16S ribosomal RNA". It matches the Rfam family "Bacterial small subunit ribosomal RNA", at positions 568 to 796 of the family's 1533-position model. The record is from RNAcentral.
CAUGUAGGCGGUUAUAUAAGUCCGAUGUGAAAGCACACAGCUUAACUGUGAUGUUGCGUUGGAAACUGUAUGACUUGAAUCCGAGAGGGGUAUGUGGAAUUCCUAGUGUAGGGGUGAAAUCUGUUGAUAUUAGGAAGAACACCGGAGGCGAAGGCGACUUGCUGGCUCUGGAUUGACGCUGAGGUGCGAAAGCGUAGGUAGCGAACAGGAUUAGAUACCCUGGUAGUCC